Molecule: ribosomal RNA, 433 nt
Filed under: uncultured bacterium
Lineage: Bacteria
Description: partial 16S ribosomal RNA
Rfam family: Bacterial small subunit ribosomal RNA
Source: RNAcentral
AGCGAACGCUGGCGGCAGGCUUAACACAUGCAAGUCGAGCGGACCUUUCGGGGUCAGCGGCGGACGGGUGAGUAACGCGUGGGAACGUGCCUUCCGGUUCGGAAUAACCCUGGGAAACUAGGGCUAAUACCGGAUACGCCCUUAUGGGGAAAGGUUUACUGCCGGAAGAUCGGCCCGCGUCUGAUUAGCUAGUUGGUGGGGUAACGGCCUACCAAGGCGACGAUCAGUAGCUGGUCUGAGAGGAUGAUCAGCCACACUGGGACUGAGACACGGCCCAGACUCCUACGGGAGGGAGCAGUGGGGAAUAUUGGAGAAUGGGGGCAAGCCUGAUCCAGCCAUGCCGCGGGAGUGAUGAAGGCCGUAGGGUUGUAAAGCUCUUUUAUCCGGGACGAUAAUGACGGUACCGGAGGAAUAAGCCCCGGCUAACUUCGUG